Molecule: unclassified non-coding RNA, 353 nt
Filed under: soil metagenome
Description: partial contains 5.8S ribosomal RNA, internal transcribed spacer 2, and large subunit ribosomal RNA
Rfam family: 5.8S ribosomal RNA (bases 1-121)
Source: RNAcentral
GAUGAAGAACGCAGCGAAAUGCGAUAAGUAAUGCGAAUUGCAGAAUUUCCGUGAGUCAUCGAAUCUUUGAACGCACAUUGCGCCCAUUGGUAUUCCGAUGGGCAUGCCUGUUCGAGCGUCAUUAUCUUCCCUCAAACCUCGCGUUUGGUGUUGGGCCGUGCUGGUUCCUGCGUGACCAACUGGCCUCAAAGACAAUGACGGCGUCCGUGGGACCCUCGAUGCAACGAGCUUCUCAGGAGCACGCGUCGAGUUUCAAGGACCUUCCGGGCCGGUCUUUCCUCAUGUUAUUACAAGGUUGACCUCGGAUCAGGUAGGGAUACCCGCUGAACUUAAGCAUAUCAAUAAGCGGAGGA